GACGUAGGGCGCGAGCGUUGUCCGGAUUUAUUGGGCGUAAAGAGCUCGUAGGCGGCUUGUUAAGUUCCGUGUGAAAUCCCCAGGCUUAACCUGGGAAGUGCGCGGAAAACUGGCGAGCUUGAGUGCCGGAGAGGGUCGCGGAAUUCCCGGUGUAGAGGUGAAAUUCGUAGAUAUCGGGAGGAACACCAGUGGCGAAGGCGGCGACCUGGACGGACACUGACGCUGAGACGCGAAAGCGUGGGGAGCAAACAGGG
RNAcentral lists this ribosomal RNA (254 nucleotides) under uncultured bacterium. RNAcentral's name for it is "partial 16S ribosomal RNA". It matches the Rfam family "Bacterial small subunit ribosomal RNA", at positions 524 to 777 of the family's 1533-position model. The record is from RNAcentral.